Xenia sp. Carnegie-2017 is the source of this 263-nucleotide long non-coding RNA. RefSeq lists it as uncharacterized. NCBI's taxonomy places the organism in Eukaryota, Metazoa, Cnidaria, Anthozoa, Malacalcyonacea, Xeniidae. The transcript has 4 exons. The record is from RefSeq and is a predicted model, not a curated record.
UGGCCGAAGAAACUCCAUCAGAACAAGAAGCAUUGAAACGGUGAGAAAAGUUAAAAGCAUUGAGGGAGAAGAGUGCUGCUGCUGCUGAGGGAGGUCGCGUUGAAAAGAGAGGAGUCAGUAACAGUUCAGCAGAAAGCGAAUCUGCUGUGAAAGUUAUUAAAAUUUAGAAACUACCAAAGGAGCGAAAACUUCCUGGGGCCAAACCACUUUCAGUGGAACAAGAAGUGAAAGAACAUGUUGAAAAGGAAAAUCUGAUGUUGUAA